RNAcentral lists this long non-coding RNA (1332 nucleotides) under Nicotiana benthamiana. Its description in RNAcentral is "long non-coding RNA (NBEN_LNC018241)". The record is from RNAcentral. Lineage: Eukaryota; Viridiplantae; Streptophyta; Magnoliopsida; Solanales; Solanaceae.
CCAAUCAAAGAUGCUGAGAGUAAGCGUAAGCUCACCCGGAAGCUCGAAGAGCUUCCCUUCAUUCGCUUCGCGGGAGCCGCACAGCACAUAGCUGGAAGUCAGAGGGCCCAUACUACCUGCCUAACCCUUCGCUCCGAGGGACCGUAGAUCGGAAAGCGCCUUCUGCACAUCACAUAGCUGAAGUCAGAGGGCCCACACUACCUGCCUAGCCCUUUGCUUCGAGGGACUGUAGAUCGGAAAGCGCCUUCUAAACCACCCCAUUCAUCCAAAAGAGAAGGGAAGGGGUUUAUGUAUUUGCAUGACCCUUACAGAUUUAACCGUAUCUAUACCCGGAGCCACUCCCCUAGCGGUCCUGCCACCACGCCGCAGAACGGGAGCUCGUGUGGAACCUUUUAUUGUGGCAUAACAGCGGCAGAACGUAACAAUAUAUUACGGCCGCCUAACAUAGGGGACUGAGGUACGGUAAACUCGGCCAAAAUAUAAGACCCGAAGGGCCGGCGCGCACAAUCUUGUCCUAUCUGAGUCCGAAUUUACCCCUCGCAAUUCGGACAGCCAUCCGUAGCAUCAUAAGGAGGACCCCCCUUUCGAGGUACAAAAAGAGUACGGUACAUAGGAGGUUGGUCUUUCUCAACGUGGUGUAUAGCACGAAAAACCUUUCGAUACAAGAUAGGGCCGUUCACAUGAAAGAAAAAAAUGAAUCCUUUCUUAUCUUCUUUCCCGAGAGGGAAAGAGAAAGAGGGUCUUAUGGAGGGAGGGGGGAGGGGAUACAAGAUAGGGUCGUUCGAAUUAAAGAAAAAAAUGAAUCCUUUCUUAUCUUCUUUCCCGAAAUGGAAAGAGAAAGAGGGUCUUAUGGGGGGAGGGGGGAGGGGAAAGGCUUGGGCCUACCUAUCCCGAUAGGACCCCAUAAAAGAACGGGAGCUGUUGAGAGGUUCCAUACUUCCGAGACAAAGGACAACACUUCUGUACGUGAUCGUAGUAUGUCAUGUCGUCUUGUCCCAACUUCAUCGAAGAGUACCUAUGCAUUAUGUUUCGGUUCAGUGAUAAGGAAGAUAGCAUUGGGGUGGGGGUCUACGAUAGAUUACUAAAGUAUGACCGGGGGAGAUACAUGCUAACUAUGGGUAGGAAGCAGGAACCAUUAUGUAAAAAAUUUCGGGGGGUUACAGAUCUCUUAUACUACCAUCGAUCAACAGAGCGGAACGACCAGAAAAAGAAGUUAAGUUAGAAAGCCGUAUGAUAGGUGGUAACUAUCUUGUACGGUUCGGGGGGUAAUCGGCGUACUCCGAUCAGUAGGGGGGGAAUCUUUGGCUCUAUCGAACAUACAUGGAAUUGGAG